Molecule: long non-coding RNA, 1033 nt
Filed under: Sus scrofa (pig)
Lineage: Eukaryota; Metazoa; Chordata; Mammalia; Artiodactyla; Suidae
Description: uncharacterized LOC100512700, transcript variant 2 (LOC100512700)
Source: RNAcentral
UGGCUUUUCCGCCGGCGGCGGCGGCGACGGCCAUGGCGGCUCGGCGCGCGCUCCGGGCCGGAGCUCGCAUCCACGCCGUGCGCAGUGCCCGACUCCUCGCGGCGCUGGCCUGGGGGCCGGUGGCCGGAGCUGCGCUUCCCUGUGCGCCCAAGACCUGUGUGUUGGGGGGUGCGCGGCGAGGUCCCGGCGCCCCCGCAGAGCAUCGCGAACCCGGCGGCGCUCGCCGCACCCUCCCAGCGCCGAGGUCUUGGGAGUUGGCCUGCGGGGACCAGAGCCACCUGCCGGGGUCUCAGGAAGGGCAGUGACUGGAGGCUCUGAACCACAGGCGAGAAUGACCCGCCCUCAGGAUCCAGACCACGAUCCGUGGGCCCAGCUCGGUCCUGCGUGACUGGUCCGUGGGACAGACCUGCAGAUGUGGCUCUGAUCCUGGACAGCAGCCGCGCUGUCCUGAGGCCCACCAGCCAAGGAGAGGAAGCUCAGCCAGCGAGAGGACAGUGGUCCCGGCUCCAGCACCAGGGCGCGUGCCCACUGUGUUGUCCGCAAAGUCAGCUGUCCUCGGUUCCCAUGGAGCCUGGAGCCAGGAAGCCACCGCCUGAGCCGGCACCCCCUCCAGCGCGCUGGAGAUGACGGGGGCAGCGGAGCUGGGAAGGCAACCCCCGGAGGAGGCUGGGUUCUGCAUGUGCCAAGUGCCGCCUGGCAGGGGCAGUGGCUGUGGAAGCGGAAGCAGACGGGUCCAGGGACGUGGCAUGUCGUGCGGGGACUGUGCGGGGCCCAGGAGGGCGCCCCUCGGCCGGUUGUUCCUCCAGUGGCCGUGGGGGUGCCCCCUGUCCUCACCGUCUGGGUUACCUCGCCCGCCUGCCCGCCCCGAAGUAUCUGGGAUGAGAUUUAAGCAGCAGUGCCAAGAAUGUGGACCCUGCAGGUGACACUUUGGAACAUGGUGUUUUAAGCAAAAUGGAAGGAUUUAAUGCCUUUUUCUUCAACGAGAAGGGUGUCUAGAGAAUAAAUGGGUCUUGAAUAAAAAAAAAAAAAAAAA